Molecule: ribosomal RNA, 759 nt
Filed under: uncultured euryarchaeote
Lineage: Archaea; Methanobacteriati; Methanobacteriota
Description: SSU rRNA
Rfam family: Archaeal small subunit ribosomal RNA
Source: RNAcentral
GUCAACCUGCCCUAUAGUCGGUGAUAACCUCGGGAAACUGAGGCUAAUACUCGAUAGAUGACGUAUGCUGGAAUGAUUGGACGUCCAAAGGGUGAACCAGGCGCCUUAGGAUGGGACUGCGCCGGAUUAGGUAGUUGGUGGGGUAAUGGCCCACCAAGCCUAUGAUCAGUAAGGGCCCUGAGAGUGGAAGCCCUGAGAGGGAUUCUGAGACACUACCCCCAGCCCUACGGGGUGCAGCAGGCGCGAAAACUUUGCAAUGCGCGAAAGCGUGACAAGGGGAUUCAAAGUGCUUCUCAAUUAGAAUGGCUUUUGCCAAGUGUAAAAAGCUUGGCGAAUAAGGGCUGGGCAAGACCGGUGCCAGCCGCCGCGGUAACACCAGCGGCUCGAGUGGUAGCCACCAAUAUUGGGCCUAAAGCGUCCGUAGCCGGCUUAAUAAGUCUUUUGUGAAAUCUUGGAGCUUAACUCUAACGCGUGCAGUGGAUACUGCUAGACUAGAGACCGGGAGACGUAAGGAGUACAUCCAAGGUAGCGGUAAAAUGUGUUAAUCCUGGAAGGACUAACAAUGGCGAAGGCACCGUACGAGAACAGAUCUGACAGUGAGGGAUGAAAGCUAGGGGCGCAAACGGGAUUAGAUACCCAGGUAGUCCUAGCAGUAAACAAUGCACACUAAACGUUGGGCCCUCUUCGAGAGCUGGCAGUGCUGUAGCGAAGGCGUUAAGUGUGCCGCCUGGGAAGUACGGUCGCAAGGCUGAAACUUAA